CUCCACGUCCUUUCCUUUCUCCGCCGCGUCCGGCUCUGAUGGACCUGAAAAACGAGAGUGUGAAAACUAUAUAAAUAUCAGCCGCGAACGAACCGGCCCCGCCGUAGGUGUUUCUAAGGCGAGUGGUCAUUCAUGGUAGAGAUUAAAUUUGUUUGAAUUUUAUUUUGAAAUCAGGAUUAUAGGUUCAUGGCUUCCAACAGACUCAAGAAUCUGCUGUUAAUUACCCCACACUUUCGGUGUUAAGGAACCCUCGAUUAAGAGACCAAAUAUAAAUGCUGAUAAUAAAGGAGACCAAACAGGCAAAUAAAAUUUUACUAAUAUGAUUUGCCGUGUACAUGGCUUAAGCAGGGGCAUACCCCCACUGUACAUAAAUUUUAUAAGAUUAGAUACUCAAUUUAGUGACUUGGUGUGUAGUGUAUCGGAUUUUUUUAGUAUAGAAGUACGUGUAAAUAAAAAAUAGUGUAAGAUACUAUUUUUUUAUUGGACUUAGUGAAGUUUCCUAUGUGUAAGUGAAGGGUUUACUUGGAGGUGAAGUUUCCUAUGUGUAAGUGAAGGGUUUACUUGGAGGUGAAGUUUUUUAUGUGUAAGUGAAAGGUUUACUUGGAGGUG
Molecule: long non-coding RNA, 609 nt
Filed under: Ananas comosus (pineapple)
Lineage: Eukaryota; Viridiplantae; Streptophyta; Magnoliopsida; Poales; Bromeliaceae
Description: long non-coding RNA (ACOM_LNC023344)
Source: RNAcentral